GCUUACGGCCACCCGGCCUGAGUACGCCUGAUCUCGUCCGAUCUCGGAAGCUAAGCAGGGUCGGGCCUGGUUAGUACUUGGAUGGGAGACCGCCUGGGAAUACCAGGUGCUGUAAGCU
Molecule: ribosomal RNA, 118 nt
Organism: Oncorhynchus mykiss (rainbow trout)
Lineage: Eukaryota; Metazoa; Chordata; Actinopteri; Salmoniformes; Salmonidae
Source: Ensembl